UUGGCUCUCGAGUUUCAACAAUGGUCCAACAGGAUAAACAGGAGGAGUAUCACAAUCACCACUUGAAAGAAACUUCAACACAUAAGGUUCAAGCUCAGCAACAGUAUUUAUCAAAAUACCCUUCAUUUCUCUAAAUUUUCUCGCUUGAUUUACAAACAUUGGGAGCGUCACUUUAGAUGCGAAAAUGUCAGGAAGACACUUCACCGGAUAAGGACGACUCAAACCUGGAACGUUCAACACAGCUUCCGAGUCUACGUGAUCACUUUCACUAACAUCGUACUUGUUCUCAUCGU
RNAcentral lists this long non-coding RNA (293 nucleotides) under Capsella grandiflora. RNAcentral describes it as "long non-coding RNA (CGRA_LNC001093)". The record is from RNAcentral. Lineage: Eukaryota; Viridiplantae; Streptophyta; Magnoliopsida; Brassicales; Brassicaceae.